GCGGCCGUAACUAUAACGGUCCUAAGGUAGCGAAAUUCCUUGUCGGGUAAGUUCCGACCUGCACGAAUGGCGUAAUGAUGGCCAGGCUGUCUCCACCCGAGACUCAGUGAAAUUGAACUCGCUGUGAAGAUGCAGUGUACCCGCGGCAAGACGGAAAGACCCCGUGAACCUUUACUAUAGCUUGACACUGAACAUUGAGCCUUGAUGUGUAGGAUAGGUGGGAGGCUUUGAAGUGGGGACGCCAGUCUGCAUGGAGCCGACCUUGAAAUACCACCCUUUAAUGUUUGAUGUUCUAACGUUGACCCGUAAUCCGGGUUGCGGACAGUGUCUGGUGGGUAGUUUGACUGGGGCGGUCUCCUCCUAAAGAGUAACGGAGGAGCACGAAGGUUGGCUAAUCCUGGUCGGACAUCAGGAGGUUAGUGCAAUGGCAUAAGCCAGCUUGACUGCGAGCGUGACGGCGCGAGCAGGUGCGAAAGCAGGUCAUAGUGAUCCGGUGGUUCUGAAUGGAAGGGCCAUCGCUCAACGGAUAAAAGGUACUCCGGGGAUAACAGGCUGAUACCGCCCAAGAGUUCAUAUCGACGGCGGUGUUUGGCACCUCGAUGUCGGCUCAUCACAUCCUGGGGCUGAAGUAGGUCCCAAGGGUAUGGCUGUUCGCCAUUUAAAGUGGUACGCGAGCUGGGUUUAGAACGUCGUGAGACAGUUCGGUCCCUAUCUGCCGUGGGCGCUGGAGAACUGAGGGGGGCUGCUCCUAGUACGAGAGGACCGGAGUGGACGCAUCACUGGUGUUCGGGUUGUCAUGCCAAUGGCACUGCCCGGUAGCUAAAUGCGGAAGAGAUAAGUGCUGAAAGCAUCUAAGCACGAAACUUGCCCCGAGAUGAGUUCUCCCUGACCCUUUAAGGGUCCUGAAGGAACGUUGAAGACGACGACGUUGAUAGGCCGGGUGUGUAAGCGCAGCGAUGCGUUGAGCUAACCGGUACUAAUGAACCGUGAGGCUUAACCUUACAACGCCGAAG
RNAcentral lists this ribosomal RNA (1013 nucleotides) under Escherichia coli. RNAcentral describes it as "bacterial LSU rRNA". It matches the Rfam family "Bacterial large subunit ribosomal RNA", at positions 1930 to 2925 of the family's 2925-position model. The record is from RNAcentral. Lineage: Bacteria; Pseudomonadati; Pseudomonadota; Gammaproteobacteria; Enterobacterales; Enterobacteriaceae.